This is a long non-coding RNA of Acinonyx jubatus (cheetah), 2367 nucleotides long. RefSeq lists it as uncharacterized. The transcript is spliced from 2 exons. The record is from RefSeq and is a predicted model, not a curated record. NCBI's taxonomy places the organism in Eukaryota, Metazoa, Chordata, Mammalia, Carnivora, Felidae.
AAUGCUCCCUCCCGGGGGCAAGUUUCUUUCCGUGAGUGAUUCUGGGUGCUGCCUGACCGUGUGUCUGUCUCUCCUGUUUCCCGGGCCGAGGAGGCAGCACCCCCUUCCUCUCUCCUCACUGGGCCUUGCCGGGCCAGGAGACGCGGUGGCGCCGGCCUGCAAACGGAGUAGUUGGUCUCCCAGGGUAGGGCGUAGGAGAACCGCCCCCAGGCGAGGAAGUCCAACCGGUUGGGCGGGCUAAGCCUCGCCCUCCAGCGAAAUGGAAAAACCCUUGUGUGAAGAGUGCUGGGGACUGAUUUUUAUAAAGCCCUCUCCUGACCCGGACCAGUUCCAUUCCUCCUACUGGAGCUUCGCAGAGCCCUGAUGGGGUACAGUUCCUGGCGUUGUGCAGCGGCGAAACUGACUCUUAGAAAGGUUGAGGAACUUGCCCAGGGUCACACAGCUGGGGAGUGGUCGAGCUAGGAUUUUAACCCAAGUCGUCCGGCCUCCAAAAGCCAGAUUCUCUCCGACGUUAGCGCCGCGCCCCCAGGGCGGAGGAUUGCGUUCCCUAACACCGCAGACACAACUAAGGUGCCUUGGGUGUGACUGAAAGACGCGAACGCGGGCCACCCAUCUCUGGAUGAUGGGUGGCUGCGCCUGCAGCCCCCGCAGGGGCUGAGCGUCGGCGGGAGCCGCUCGGGCUGUUACCGUAAGUCUCAGAGGAGCGGGGCACAACGGGAAAGGUAACGAAGAGCAGGACGGGCCGGAGGGCGCCGCGACGUGGAGAGACUGCGUUCCCGGCUCAGAAGCCUGACCUUGAAGGAGUGAGGGUGCGCACGCGCCCGAGGCAAGUCAGCCUUACUGUUCUUGGAAAGAAUUAGAAGAGGAAAGAAAGGUCACUGCUUUAAAAAUAGGCAUGGAAAGAGCCAAAGGAACCCGGAUCCAGGAUGUAACUCUGCCCUGGUCUUCGGCCCUGAGGAAGGGGUCUGUACUUUCACAAGCGGCAACAGCCAGGCGAUGAUUUUCAUCUUAAAUACAGCCCAUCAGCAACUGAAGAACCACAUGACCUCCAAAAAUUGACCAGUCUUCUUUGGAUUCCUUCCUUCCAUCACAGCCCUCAUUUUUCCCCCCGCAUAGGCAGCGGAAAAAAGGAAAAGCUCAUGUGCUCAGGCUCUAAGGUAAGAGCGUGACAGGCACACGUUCAUUCAUGUCUCACAGCAAUCCCUGGAGGGGAGCAUGGGUCUCCCCACUUUAUGCAUGAGGAAACUGAGGCAGAGAGAGGUUAAGCAACUGGCCUGCAGUCCCACAGGCCUGAGGUAAACGAGAGCCAAAGGAAAACCCAGGCUUGUAAAUAUGCAGUUUAACUUCCAAUAGCUAUAAAUCUACUUUCCCUAGGGAUGUAAAUUCUGAGAUCUUAUGAUCCAGCAAGAAAGGAGCAGCAAGGAGCUGGUCUACAGUGCAGUGAGGCCUGGAUUUUGAGUCCAGGAGGGAGAGAGACAGACCCCAGGGACCUUUGGGAAGGUAGAGGAUAAUCUAUAGCUGCGAUGAGAACAGAAUCCAUGGUGGAGGACUGCUCUCAAAUUUUCCCAGCCAAGAUUUCUGAUACUUCAAAGACAGUUGGUGGCAAGUAGGAUGAUGUGCUUGGAAGCCAGACAGGCCUGAGCUUCAACCUCAACUCUGGCACUUACUGGCCGGUGACCUUGAGCGGACCAAAGCUGCAGGAUGUCAGAUCUAAGAAACAAGCCACCUGCCUCUCAGAGCAGAUUUAAGGAGAUACAAAAUGGAAGCGGUCCUAGCACAGUGCCUGGCCUCCAGGGGGUCCUCGAUGAGAGUAAAUUCCCUGUUGUCCCCCCCUUGGCAAUGCCCCUACUUCACCUCCUGUGUUUGUGAUUCUCCUUUCUCAAUAUUGUACCCUUGGUGAGUGAGAACCAGCGGAGAAUGUCAAGUGAAAGGGCAUGGCCCAGGGAACCAAUAAUAUGCUUGUGCCCCUCUCCCUGCAUGGUGACUGACAUUUCCCAGAAAUAAAUAACUGCAUAGCAUUCAGGCUUUCAUGCAUCUGUUGCAUGAAAUAUGGUGGUAACUCCAUUCACUGGGAUCUGGGAUAGUGAGAAGAAAAUCAAGACACGACUCAUGUGCUAAUGGAAUUGUCCCUUCAUGGUAGUUUAAAAGCAUAGGCAGGGGCGCCUGGGUGGCGCAGUCGGUUAAGCAUCCGACUUCAGCCAGGCCACGAUCUCGCGGUCCGGGAGUUCGAGCCCCACGUCAGGCUCUGGGCUGAUGGCUCGGAGCCUGGAGCCUGUUUCCGAUUCUGUGUCUCCCUCUCUGUCUGCCCCUCCCCCGUUCAUGCUCUGUCUCUCUCUGUCCCAAAAAUAAAUAAACGUUGAAAAUAAA